Molecule: non-coding RNA, 29 nt
Filed under: Homo sapiens (human)
Lineage: Eukaryota; Metazoa; Chordata; Mammalia; Primates; Hominidae
Source: RNAcentral
AUGUCACCAUGACGAGCAGUGCAGGCAGC